UGACUCAUAGUACUUAAUCGGAUCGCAUGGGCUUGUCCCGCGACAAACCAUUCAAGUUUCUGCCCCAUCAUGCUUUCGAUGGUAGUGUAUUGGACUACCAUGGCUUUCACGGGUAACGGAGGAUUAGGGUUCGAUUCCGGAGAGGGAGCCUGAGAAACGGCUACCACUUCCACGGAAGGCAGCAGGCGCGUAAAUUACCCAAUCCUGACUCAGGGAGGUAGUGACAAGAAAUAAUGGGUCGGGGUUCUGCCCCGGGACCGCAAUGAGACGAAUUUAGACCCCUUAUCGAGGACCAAUUGGAGGGCAAGUCUGGUGCCAGCAGCCGCGGUAAUUCCAGCUCCAAUAGCGUAUAUUAAAGUUGUUGCAGCUAAAAAGCUCGUAGUUGGAUUUCUGGUAGUGGGCAAGAGCUCGUUGCACGUUGCUCGCGUUCAUUGCCAUCCUUCUGUUAACCUAUCAGGGCAUUCUAUUGUCAGUUAGGGGCUCAGAUAUUUUACCUUGAGAAAAUUAGAGUGUUUCAGGCAGGCUUGUGCCCGGAUACAUUAGCAUGGAAUAAUGGAAUAGGACUUUAGCCUCUUCUGUUGGUCUGAGGGGUUGAAGUAAUGAUUAAUAGGGAUAGUUGGGGGCAUUAGUACUUAACUGUCAGAGGUGAAAUUCUCGGAUUUGUUAAAGACUAACUUAUGCGAAAGCAUUUGCCAAGGAUGUUUUCAUUAAUCAAGAACGAAAGUUAGGGGAUCAAAGACGAUCAGAUACCGUCCUAGUCUUAACCAUAAACUAUGCCGACUCGGGAUCGGGGGCCAGAGUUAACUGCCUUCGGCACCGUAUGAGAAAUCAAAGUCUUUGGGUUCUGGGGGGAGUAUGGUCGCAAGGCUGAAACUUAAAGGAAUUGACGGAAGGGCACCACCAGGCGUGGAGCUUGCGGCUCAAUUUGACUCAACACGGGGAAACUUACCAGGUCCAGACAUAGUGAGGAUUGACAGAUUGAUAGCUCUUUCUUGAUUCUGUGGGUGGUGGUGCAUGGCCGUUCUUAGUUGGUGGAGUGAUUUGUCUGGUUAAUUCCGUUAACGAACGAGACCUUAGCCUACUAAAUAGUCGCAACAAUUACGAUUGGCUGCGUCUUCUUAGAGGGACUUUGCAAGCAACUGCAAGGAAGUUUGAGGCAAUAACAGGUCUGUGAUGCCCUUAGAUGUCCUGGGCCGCACGCGUGCUACACUGACGCAUACAGCGAGUAUCACCAGCUCCGUGAGGCUGCUGGUAAUCAGCAAUAUGCGUCGUGCUGGGGAUAGAUCUUUGGAAUUUUUGAUCUUGAACGAGGAAUGCCUAGUAAGCGCAGGUCAUCAGCCUGCGUUGAUUAAGUCCCUGCCCUUUGUACACACCGCCCGUCGCUCCUACCGAUUUCGAGUGGUCCGGUGAACCCUUUGGACCGAGAGCGCCUCGUGAGCUUUUGGAAAGUCGAGUAAACCAC
This 1462-nucleotide ribosomal RNA is filed under the name uncultured Tintinnida. RNAcentral's name for it is "partial 18S ribosomal RNA". It matches the Rfam family "Eukaryotic small subunit ribosomal RNA", at positions 247 to 1767 of the family's 1831-position model. The record is from RNAcentral. Lineage: Eukaryota; Ciliophora; Spirotrichea; Tintinnida.